Molecule: long non-coding RNA, 2964 nt
Filed under: Betta splendens (Siamese fighting fish)
Lineage: Eukaryota; Metazoa; Chordata; Actinopteri; Anabantiformes; Osphronemidae
Description: lncRNA (ENSBSLG00000002109.1)
Source: RNAcentral
UAUCAAAUGACACAUUGACAGGUCGAAGAAACUACAAAACACCAAUAAACCUGCUUUGAUUAAACAAAUCAAGAAGUUAAACAGUAAAAGUGGAGAAGCCAUAGCAUGAAAUUUAUAGUGUUUAAAAGAUUGGAUCUUGUAUUUAGCUGUUUUAUCUUCUCCUUUGGUCUGUGUAUAGUUGAAGUUGGCUAAUCAAGCUAAAUAAAGCUGAAAACGUCGCCGUACACGUAACUAUCAGGCCGCAUAUGGUCUAUUUCACUCGUCGCGUGCACUAGCGCGCCUCCUUCCCCUCGGAGAGAAUCUACAGGAAGGCAGCGAGUCCAGGAAACAGCGUUUGAGACCCGGCCCUGUGACCGAGGUUUGGGGCGUCGACCAAACUUCACUUGGACCAAUCGCAGUUCGCGGCGAAACUUUGUAAACAACUCUCACGCGCUGUUUGACGCCUAGUCUUUUGUGUUUACUACGCGGAGAGGCCGCGGCGCUGCGGUCCGGCGGGAAGCGUCGCGACAGGGAUUCAUCAGUGACUCUGGCAGUCCUCCAUGAUUAUGAAAAUCAAACCCUUCUUAGGAGCGAUGCAGCAUCCAAAGGCCUGUCAUCCUGUGGUGGUAUUACACAAGAGCUCACACCAGGCUCCUCCGUGGGCAAGCUGGGAUCAGAUGACUACGAUGAGCAGCGUACGCAUGUGAGCAGUCAAAGCCUAUAUUGUACUGUGCCCACCUUUCCUUGGCAUGAAGUGGCCGUGCCAUUGCAAACAGUGGUGCGAAUGGGAGCCAACGGAAACAACACCAGUCAUCUCUCCUCUAUUCCCCACCCAGGCUGAUAAGAUUAACCACCGGCCUGUGGCUCCCAGCUGUUGAGCACCCAACCGGCUUCAGGCAUGUACGAAACACAGAAACACACCAACACACUCAGUAGAAAGCUGCACCUGAUUUAAACCCAUUUAAACAUGUCGAGGUCCCGGCAACCACACCCUGAAGAUUCAAAAUGGUCGACUUGCUCAGUCUUGGUUUCUUUUUUUUUUUUUCUCAUAACCAUCAAGAGCCGUAGUCUCAUAAAUUCCCUUUACACAUCCAUCAUGCAUAAAAAUUUCAAAUGAAUGAAAAUUAGGGUUUCUAGUUGAGUAAUUUCCUACAGCACCAAUCAUGUAGUAAAUUUCCCCACCUACUUUUUUAUGCUUAAGUUUCAUCGCUAGCAGGAGUUUUUAAUAGUCUGCAGACGAGCCCUUUAUAAAAUUGACGCUGAACUCAAAGGCUUGUGAACAGAACGCGUCUUUUUUAGUGGCGCCGUAGCGGAUGAGGAGGGUGUGCUCUUAAAUGUCCAGAAAGUGAAAACACAAUGUGCAAACUGACGGCAACCAGGACACGAAAGCAUGUACAGUAGCGUAAAGUCAGGUGAAAGAAACCAAAGCAGUGACGCGCUCCGUUUCCUAUAAAUAUGAAGCCGUGGGAAUGCUUCGGCGGUGGUGUUUUCCCUCGGUCCAACUCGCAGUUCACAUAGGUGUGAGUGUAAAGUUUCCACAUCUGAAGUAAAACCUUCUUCUCUGCCUCCGUGUUGUGUGUAUGAUCUGAUUUCUCUGACUUUCUGUGUUUUUUUUCCUGUUUGAUCAUUUUCACGCUUUAACACCCCCCCCCACCCCCGGUGUCGACCUCAUCCACUGGUCUGAGUGAACACAUCCUGGACGUUGCUCUGCUUAACUGGUGUGGUUAACUAGUUCACGGCUGCCACACACAAAAACACAAUGCGCCACUAAAACCUGAACAGUGACGUAAUUUUCAGUUUUAUAUGACACGACAUGCACGUUCUUUCCCUCAACAACCAGUAAUUGAUCGACACAAUCAACGCAUUCCCGCUCUCUAAACAGUGAGUCCAGAACGUGCUCCAUCCCUCGCCUGUGAUGUAAGUGUGACUGAUAGCGGAGCAGCUGUUUCCGGGGGGCCGCGCCGCUGUCUGCCGUUAGCGCUGCCGCUGGCCUGCUGCACCCGUCCCUGUCCAGCUGUCUGCCUCGCUCUGCUGCUCCCUGCUCUGCACGCCGCCACUCAUAGAGGGCGCUAGUCAGGCUGCAGCUGCACAGCUCAAGGGGGGGAAGCUGUCAGCAGAGCCUUUCACAUUCAAAACACAGCAUUUUGAAGUUCCCCUCAUUAUUCCCAGGCUGAUUUUAUGGAGAAAGAAAUCUUAAAAUGAAUGAUAAUGAAUGUGCAGAGAGUCUUCUGCAGUCAUUGUUGCCCGAUGGCUGCUGAGCAUCAUGGGAUGUGUCAACUGCUCCUGCCCCACCUGCAGCUUCCACCCUGAGUCAGAGCGAGAGCUCUCAGCUGUUCCCGGCGCCGCCGCCCGCCGCUUGUGACACCUCGCGCUUCACCUUUUGUUUCACAUCCACCCUGGCAAACGCAGAGAAACAUCCUGUUUGCAGCCCAGCGGAGGAUUUCACUGUGUGAACACAGCUCUGUUGGACACAGUUUGGCAGGCAGUUAGCGGCGCCGCAUACUUGUGCGAGUGUCUUCACUGUCCCACCCUUUUGAUUAUGAGUCACAGCAAUAGCAGUUAACCUAAGUCCAACGGUGACUAACAGUGUGUGUGUGUGUGUGUGUUUUGAAAUGGGUGUGCGACCUGCCUCCAGAUACUUUGCUAGUUAAUGUAUUGUUUCUGGAUCAGGGUUCACCAAAGGCGGCAGGUAGUGUUCCAACAUACUGGCUUCUAUCAAUGAGUGAUGCCGCCUUGCUCUCCUUCGUGUACAGUAAACUGCCCGUAAACGGCGGCGACACAGCUUUCAAAUAAUCUCUCCAUCAUUCCAGACGUGGCAAUUAUCAACCAAUCACAUGGGAGUCAGUCCCCCCCCCGUCAUGUGCGCUCAUUUUGCCCGACAACAGUUAAAGUUUAGUCAGAAGCCUCUGGGAGUGAAGGAGAGCUCUGGUUUGAAGGACCCGUUUCUACUGUAGUUGGAUAAAUAAAAAUACUUACUACGUGUCA